RNAcentral lists this non-coding RNA (30 nucleotides) under Mus musculus (house mouse). The record is from RNAcentral. Lineage: Eukaryota; Metazoa; Chordata; Mammalia; Rodentia; Muridae.
UACUGGAUAACCAAUUGGUAUGCUCUUCCC